UAGGGAAUCUUCGGCAAUGGACGAAAGUCUGACCGAGCAACGCCGCGUGAGUGAAGAAGGUUUUCGGAUCGUAAAACUCUGUUGGUAGAGAAGAACGUUGGUGAGAGUGGAAAGCUCGUCAAGUGACGGUAACUACCCAGAAAGGGACGGCUAACUACGUGCUAG
This 165-nucleotide ribosomal RNA is filed under the name uncultured bacterium. Its description in RNAcentral is "partial 16S ribosomal RNA". It matches the Rfam family "Bacterial small subunit ribosomal RNA", at positions 355 to 511 of the family's 1533-position model. The record is from RNAcentral.